RNAcentral lists this transfer RNA (73 nucleotides) under Candidatus Woesearchaeota archaeon. RNAcentral's name for it is "tRNA-His". It matches the Rfam family "tRNA". From Rfam's summary of the family: Transfer RNA (tRNA) molecules are approximately 80 nucleotides in length. Their secondary structure includes four short double-helical elements and three loops (D, anti-codon, and T loops). Further hydrogen bonds mediate the characteristic L-shaped molecular structure. tRNAs have two regions of fundamental functional importance: the anti-codon, which is responsible for specific mRNA codon recognition, and the 3' end, to which the tRNAs corresponding amino acid is attached (by aminoacyl-tRNA synthetases). tRNAs cope with the degeneracy of the genetic code in two manners: having more than one tRNA (with a specific anti-codon) for a particular amino acid; and 'wobble' base-pairing, i.e. permitting non-standard base-pairing at the 3rd anti-codon position. Lineage: Archaea; Nanobdellati; Candidatus Woesearchaeota. The record is from RNAcentral.
GCGGUAGUGGUGUAACCUGGCAGCACAAAGGACUGUGGAUCCUUCAGUCCGGGUUCAAAUCCCGGCUACCGCC